RNAcentral lists this ribosomal RNA (126 nucleotides) under Hydrogenophaga sp. RNAcentral describes it as "partial 23S ribosomal RNA". It matches the Rfam family "Bacterial large subunit ribosomal RNA", at positions 1 to 126 of the family's 2925-position model. The record is from RNAcentral. Lineage: Bacteria; Pseudomonadati; Pseudomonadota; Betaproteobacteria; Burkholderiales; Comamonadaceae.
GAUCAAGAUAUUAAGGGCACACGGUGGAUGCCUUGGCGCUGGAAGCCGAUGAAGGACGUGGCAAGCUGCGAUAAGCCUCGGGUAGGUGCACACAACCGCUAAUCCGAGGAUUUCCGAAUGGGGAAA